AAUAUUGGGGUGAAUAAAGAACUUGUAGUUAUAUUUUAACUAUUAUAUAUCUGCAUAAACCUGUAAUAGUAACUUACCCAUUUUUUAAAUAAAGUUUUUUGUUUCUCUUAAAUUAGGUGCUCUUGAUGAGGCGCUGGAAAAAAUAAAGGAGCUGGAGGAACUGGUGUCAAGCCUUACCAUCUCUCGAGCUUUGCUGGAUAAAUGGUGUGUGUCUGAUGAAGACCUCAGAUACUUUAUAAGAUUCCCAAACAAAAACAUAUUUUUUGUUUUCUGGAGAUCAAUUGAGCCCUCUGCAUCCAGGAUUGUGUACUGGUCCAAAGCCAAGUGGAUUGGAGUUUCAAUGGUACAGAAAGAGGUUGUGAAGCCAAGCCAUCAGCGCAAGAUGGAGCUCAGCUCAUUGAUGAGUUUUUUAUGUUUUCUUUGCGAGUUGCUGUCGGCCUUAGAGAGAGAGAGUUUUGCCGAGAUUUUUCAAGUAAGCACUUCUACAGUGAGUUGCAUUACCAUCACAUGGUCAAACUACCUGUACCUUGUGUUGGGUUAAGUUUAAAUCUGUAUGACCCGGGAGCAUGUGAGGCGAACAAUGCCUGUAUAAUUCCAGCAGUACUGCCCAAAUGUGAGGGUCAUUAUUGAAUGCACAAAGUUUAGAUCUGAGAGCAAUUACCCUCCACUCUGAAACCUUUUCAACCUACAAGAGCUAUACCACCUUCAAAGCUUUAAUUGGAGUGGCACCCUGUGGGCAAUCACAUUUGCAUCCAAGUUAUUCACUGGGUUUAUCUCUGACAAGGAGUUGACAAGGCAGUCAGGGAUUUUGAACUUACUGGAGCCGGGUGACGAGGUUAUGGCUGAUAAGGGCUUCCUCAUUGGAAAGUUUCUGGAGGAUGUUAAGGCAAAAUUAAUCAUCCCCCCUUUCAAGCACAGAGACCAGUUUAGCAGAAAGGAAACUGAGAGAACCCAGGCCAUUGCCAGACUUCGCAUCCUUGUUGAACGUGCAAUUAGACGAGUAAAAGAGUACCACAUUUGGGAUUCUCCAAUUCCCCUCACUUUAGCAGGCACUGUUAAUCAGAUGUGGUCUUGCUGUUGCAUGAUGGCAAAUUACCAAGGUCCUUUAGAUCUGGAAGGUGAGAUACAAUACUGGACAGUGUGAACACCUACUUACCUGUCAUUAACAUCACCUCCUCACCAACAGUAACAUCGGCCCACCUCCUCCUGCUCACCAGCCAGUAACAUCGGCCCACCUCCUCUUGCUCACCUGUCAGUAACAUCGGCCCACCUCCUUCUGCUCACCAGCCAGUAACAUCGACCCACCUCCUCCUGCUCACCUGCCAGUAACAUCGGCCCACCUCCUCCUGCUCACCUGCCAGUAACAUCGGCCCACCUCCUCCUGCUCAUCAGCCAGUAACAUCGGCCCACCUCCUCCUGCUCACCAGCCAGUAACAUCGGCCUACCUCCUCCUGCUCACCAGCCAAUAACAUUGGCCUACCUCCUCUGGCUCACCAGCCAGUAACAUCAGCCACCACCUCAUUAUCAGCCAGUAACAUCGGCCCACCACCUCAUCAUCAGCCAGUAACAUUGAUCUUUUUAACAUUGAAGUUUUUUUUUUAUUACCGCAAGACUCUUCAGUCAACCUUGCUAUAACCAGAGAAGACCUUGUCCUGAUCUAGCUUACUUUGUGACACUGUGGUGCAUUUUCUGUAAACCAGUAACAACAGACAACACCUCAUCAACAGCCAGUAACAUUGGCUCACCACCUCAUCAACAGCCAGAAAUAUCGGCCACCAUCUUAUCAACAGCCAGUAAGAUAUUGCAUUUAGGUCAAUAUUCUUAUUAAUUGUGGUCACACAGAACUUCACAUUAAUGUAGUGCACAUACACACAUUUUAUAACACACAUUAUCUCUUCGUUUACUUAAACAGAACCAGAGAAGAGCUUGUCCUGAGCUAGCCUACUUAUUUACAAGUACUCCCAAAAGUGCUAUUACGCCAUACAAUAUAGUUCCUCUUUUAAAUCCGCUUAGAAAAGCGCUACGUUUUAUUUUGUACCACCAAACUUGCUCGUAUAACUACUCGUCUUAAAUAGGAAAAAUGUUGAUGUGUUUGGUCACUUCUAACUUUAUCUCUAAAUGGUACCAUUGAAUGAAUGGGGCUAAGCUAAAUGCUAUCGAAGCGUCGCAGCGCGCUCCAGCGCUUACGUGCACGCACACAGAUGAUAGAGGGAUGUAUCAACAAUUCUUAGUUAAGGUAAUAACAUAUUUUAAUAUUGAAAAUGAGUAGACUAUUCCUUU
Non-coding RNA from Misgurnus anguillicaudatus (oriental weatherfish), 2280 nucleotides. The record is from RefSeq and is a predicted model, not a curated record. Lineage: Eukaryota; Metazoa; Chordata; Actinopteri; Cypriniformes; Cobitidae.